RNAcentral lists this ribosomal RNA (292 nucleotides) under uncultured bacterium. RNAcentral's name for it is "partial 16S ribosomal RNA". It matches the Rfam family "Bacterial small subunit ribosomal RNA", at positions 505 to 796 of the family's 1533-position model. The record is from RNAcentral.
GUGUCAGCAGCCGCGGUAAGACAGAGGUGCCGAGCGUUAGGCGGAAUCACUGGGCUUAAAGCGUGUGUAGGCGGGUCGUUAAGUGCCUUGUGAAAUCCCAUGGCUCAACCAUGGAACUGCUGGGCAUACUGGCGAUCUUGAGCCGGCCAGGGGCUACUGGAACAAACGGUGGAGCGGUGAAAUGCGUAGAUAUCGUUUGGAACGCCAAAGGUGAAAACAGGUAGCUGGAGCCGCGCUGACGCUGAGACACGAAAGCCAGGGGAGCGAACGGGAUUAGAUACCCCCGUAGUCC